Molecule: ribosomal RNA, 450 nt
Filed under: uncultured bacterium
Lineage: Bacteria
Description: partial 16S ribosomal RNA
Rfam family: Bacterial small subunit ribosomal RNA
Source: RNAcentral
CCUACGGGUGGCUGCAGUGGGGAAUUUUGGACAAUGGACGAAAGUCUGAUCCAGCGACGCCGCGUGAAGGACGAAGGUUUUCGGAUCGUAAACUUCUUUUGCAGGGGACGAAAGCGGGCAACCGUUUGACGGUACUCUGCGAAUAAGCCACGGCUAACUACGUGCCAGCAGCCGCGGUAAUACGUAGGUGGCGAGCGUUACUCGGAAUUACUAGGCGUAAAGCGCGUAUAGGCGGGAUGUUAAGUCUGCUUAAAUCUCACAGCUCAACUGUGAAAUGCCGGCGGAUACUGGCCUUCUUGAAUUCGGUAGAGGUAACUGGAAUUCCAGGUGUAGCGGUGAAAUGCGUAGAUAUCUGGAAGAACGCCAAAGGCGAAAGCAGGUUACUGGGCCGCAAUUGACGCUGAGACGCGAAAGCUAGGGGAGCAAACAGGAUUAGAUACCCUAGUAGUC